This 392-nucleotide ribosomal RNA is filed under the name uncultured bacterium. RNAcentral's name for it is "partial 16S ribosomal RNA". It matches the Rfam family "Bacterial small subunit ribosomal RNA", at positions 523 to 918 of the family's 1533-position model. The record is from RNAcentral.
AUACGUAGGGGGCGAGCGUUGUCCGGAUUUAUUGGGCGUAAAGGGUGCGUAGGCGGCCUUGUAAGUCAGAUGUGAAAGAUCAUGGCUUAACUGUGGUAAGCAUUUGAAACUGCAGGGCUUGAGUACAGGGGAGGAGAGUGGAAUUCCUAGUGUAGCGGUGAAAUGCGUAGAUAUUAGGAGGAAUACCAGUGGCGAAGGCGACUCCCUGGACUGAUACUGACGCUGAGGCACGAAAGCGUGGGGAGCAAACAGGAUUAGAUACCCUGGUAGUCCACGCUAUAAACGAUGAGUGCUAGGUGUCGGGGGUCAAACCUCGGUGCCGCAGUUAACACAUUAAGCACUCCGCCUGGGGAGUACGGCCGCAAGGCUGAAACUCAAAUGAAUUGACGGGG